GAUGAACGCUGGCGGCGUGCCUAAUACAUGCAAGUCGAGCGAACAGACGAGGAGCUUGCUCCUCUCACGUUAGCGGCGGACGGGUGAGUAACACGUGGAUCACCUCCCUAUCAGACUGGGAUAACUUCGGGAAACCGGAGCUAAUACCGGAUAAUAUCUUGAACCGCAUGGUUCAAUAGUGAAAGACGGUUUUGGUGGCACUAAUAGAUGGUUCCGCGCCGCAUUGGCUGGUUGGUAAGGUAACAGCUUACCAAGGCAACGAUGCGUAGCCGACCGGAGAGGGGGAUCGGCGACCUUGGAGGUGAGACAGGGUCAAGACUCCUACGGGAGGGAGCAGUAGGGAACGUUCCGCAAUGGGCGAAAGCCUGACGGAGCAACGGCGCGUGAGUGAUGAAGGUCCUCGGAGCGUAAAACUCUGUUAUUAGGGAAGAACAAAUGUGUAAGUAACUAUGCACUUCGUGACGGUAACUAAUCAGAAAGCCACGGCUAACUACGUG
RNAcentral lists this ribosomal RNA (497 nucleotides) under uncultured bacterium. RNAcentral's name for it is "partial 16S ribosomal RNA". It matches the Rfam family "Bacterial small subunit ribosomal RNA", at positions 28 to 507 of the family's 1533-position model. The record is from RNAcentral.